AUCCUUGUGCAAGAAGUCUUAACACCCACUUUUGUGACCCUUUACAGCCGGAGGUCUCCGUGCAACGCCCCCUGACAUGCCCCCAACCCCCGACCCUAUAACACCGCAACUCCCCUGGCCCCGUUGUGUGACCUGUCGUGCAAACCCUCGUGCAAACCCUCAUGCAAGAAACCACCAAACCCACUUCUAUGCCCCCCCAGAGCCGGAGGUCUCCGUGCAACGCCCCCUCAAGCACCCCCAACCCCCAUCCCUAUAACACUGUGACAUCUGCACGACCCUAGUGUGACUCCUCGUGCAAACCCUCGUGCAAGAAAUCUCCAAAGUAACCUCCACGACCCUUUUAGAGCCGGAGGUCUCCGUGCAACGCCCCCCCAAGCGCCCCCAACCCCCGACCCUAUAACACCGCGAUCCCCCCGGACCCCUCAUGUAACCCGUCGUGAAAACCCUCGUGCAAGAAACCCCCAAACCCACUUCUAUGCCCCCCCAGAGCCAGAGGUCUCCAUGCAACGCCCCCUCAAGCGCCCCCAUCCCCCGACCCUAUAACACCACGACCCCCCCUGACCCCUUGUGUGACCCCCCGUGCAAAUCCUCGUGCAAGAAGUCUCAAAACCCACUUUUGUGACCCUUUACAGCCUGAGGUCUCCGUGCAACGCCCCCUGACGUGCCCCCAACCCCCGACCCUAUAACACCGCGACUCCCCCCCGCCCCCCCGGGCCCCAUUGUGCGACCUGUCGUGCAAACCCUCGUGCAAGAAACCACCUAACCCACUUCUAUGGCCCCCCAGAGCCGGAAGUCUCCGUGCAACGCCCCCUCAAGCGCCCCCAUCCCCCAACCCUAUAACACUGCGACCCCCCCGACCCUGUUGUGCGACCUGUCGUGCAAACCCUCGUGCAAGAAAUCUCCAAAGUAACCUCCACGACCCUUUUAGAGCCGGAGGUCUCCGUGCAACGCCCCCUCAAGCACCCCCAACCCCCAUCCCUAUAACACUGUGACAUCUGCACGACCCUAGUG
RNAcentral lists this long non-coding RNA (1011 nucleotides) under Gallus gallus (chicken). RNAcentral describes it as "lncRNA (ENSGALG00010000077.1)". The record is from RNAcentral. Lineage: Eukaryota; Metazoa; Chordata; Aves; Galliformes; Phasianidae.